GGUGCUGGACAUUUGCCUUCUUAUCAGACUGGGCACAUUCCAUGACCAAGUGACCACCUGGGCUGCCUGUCAGGGGCAUCUGUACUCUUCAUCC
This 94-nucleotide long non-coding RNA is filed under the name Capra hircus (goat). RNAcentral describes it as "lncRNA (ENSCHIG00010020268.1)". Lineage: Eukaryota; Metazoa; Chordata; Mammalia; Artiodactyla; Bovidae. The record is from RNAcentral.